GGCUGGUCCAAGUCCAGUGGUGUUUACAACUAAUUGAUCACAACCAGUUACAGAUUUCUUUGUUCCUUCUCCACUCUCAUUGUUUCAUUUGGCUAGCCUAAA
Molecule: unclassified non-coding RNA, 102 nt
Organism: Gorilla gorilla gorilla (western lowland gorilla)
Lineage: Eukaryota; Metazoa; Chordata; Mammalia; Primates; Hominidae
Rfam family: Y RNA
About the family: Y RNAs are components of the Ro ribonucleoprotein particle (Ro RNP), in association with Ro60 and La proteins.
Source: Ensembl